This 497-nucleotide ribosomal RNA is filed under the name uncultured bacterium. Its description in RNAcentral is "partial 16S ribosomal RNA". It matches the Rfam family "Bacterial small subunit ribosomal RNA", at positions 28 to 507 of the family's 1533-position model. The record is from RNAcentral.
GAUGAACGCUGGCGGCGUGCCUAAUACAUGCAAGUCGAGCGAACGGACGAGAAGCUUGCUUCUCUGAUGUUAGCGGCGGACGGGUGAGUAACACGUGGAUAACCUACCUAUAAGACUGGGAUAACUUCGGGAAACCGGAGCUAAUACCGGAUAAUAUUUUGAACCGCAGGGUUCAAAAGUGAAAGACGGUCUUGCUGUCACUUAUAGAGGGAUCCGCGCUGCAUUAGCUAGUUGGUAAGGUAACGGCUUACCAAGGCAACGAUGCAUAGCCGACCUGAGAGGGUGAUCGGCCACACUGGAACUGAGACACGGUCCAGACUCCUACGGGAGGCCGCAGUAGGGAAUCUUCCGCAAUGGGCGAAAGCCUGACGGAGCAACGCCGCGUGAGUGAUGAAGGUCUUCGGAUCGUAAAACUCUGUUAUUAGGGAAGAACAUAUGUGUAAGUAACUGUGCACAUCUUGACGGUACCUAAUCAGAAAGCCCCGGCUAACUACGUG